CACAACGUAGCUUAAUUCAAAAGCACCUUGCUUACACCAAGAAGAUAUCUGUUAAAACCAGAUCGUUAUGA
This 71-nucleotide transfer RNA is filed under the name Scinax brieni. Its description in RNAcentral is "tRNA-Val". It matches the Rfam family "tRNA". Rfam says of the family: Transfer RNA (tRNA) molecules are approximately 80 nucleotides in length. Lineage: Eukaryota; Metazoa; Chordata; Amphibia; Anura; Hylidae. The record is from RNAcentral.